Salmo salar (Atlantic salmon) is the source of this 135-nucleotide non-coding RNA. The record is from Rfam. NCBI's taxonomy places the organism in Eukaryota, Metazoa, Chordata, Actinopteri, Salmoniformes, Salmonidae.
UAGUAAUCCUGCUCAGUACGAAAGGAACCGCAGGUUCAGACAUUUGGUGUAUGUGCUUGGCUGAGGAGCUAAUGGUGCGAAGCUACCAUCUGUGGGAUUAUGACUGAACGCCUCUAAGUCAAAAUCCCCCCUAAA